GGCCACAUUACGUUAAAACACCGGAUCCCAUACGAUCACCGAAAUUAAGCAACGUCACGCUCGGUCAAUAUCUAGAUGGGUGACUGCUUGAAAAUACUAAGUGCUGUAAG
Non-coding RNA from Acanthosepion pharaonis, 110 nucleotides. The record is from the annotation of a GenBank genome assembly. NCBI's taxonomy places the organism in Eukaryota, Metazoa, Mollusca, Cephalopoda, Sepiida, Sepiidae.